UGGAGCAGGUGUGUGUGAAGCUUAUAUUUACUCCUGUAGGCUCCAGAUCCCUGAGCACUGACUCAUUAGCUCACCUUCUGAGGUGGUGAGAGGUCGGCCUUGUGUUGGCGGCAUAGCGUGUGUCUGCAUGAACGCCACGUUCUCCUUCAGUGUGUUUAACUUGUGUUUCAUGUUUCAGGAAGAAGGAAGCUGGUUGACACUUGUCCUGCAUGAUCAGGUUUCAGUUCUUUUAUCUGAGCCUUGUUUCGUUGAGGGAGCUCUGCAUCUCAGCUCCAUGUGAUUUAGGUUCCCCUCUCUCCUCUCAGCGCUUGUGGUUGUUGUGGUUAUUCCUUCAGGGGAACUUUAAGAACCCCUUUGUCCCCAUGAGUCCUACUUCCCCUUGGAUCCUAAAAGCAGCACAUGGUAGAGGAAGUCCUGGCUGGUUGUUAAUUGCUCAAUGCUAGCCGUGGUUAAAUGUAAUUUUACUUCCAUGAUUUCUUAUUUUUGGAGUAAACUCGAGUCGGACAUGUUUGUUCUGAAACAGUGUUUUUCCUGAAUUGAAGCAAAGGGACCAAAACAACCUCAGCGCUGCUCUCACAGAAAACUCCUCUCUCCACACACGGCUGUAUUUUUGUACUUUUGGCUUCCCUUGUGUCAUUUCCAACACAAGAACAGAGGUGGAUUGUGGGUAAAUCCCUCAUGCACAGUGUGCAGAGCUGCAGGAGCUGCAGGAGUUCAGACGCCUCCACGACCCCACAGAUAAUCUGAACGUGUGGAGGAGUGUCCCAAACAUCCCGUCAGACGGGUUCAUCGUUUUCUGGAGGAAGAUUUUCACAUUUUUCAACGUGACUCUGUUCCAGAAACACAGAGACAUGAAUGGAUGUAGUGUCCGUGACUUCACCGCCUGAAGCCGAUCAUGCUGAACUCAAUCCAACGUCCGUCAAGCUUUUUAAACACUUUAAGAGUUUGAAGACUUUUCAGGAACUUUCUCUUUUAAAUAUUAAAACAGAAAAAAACAAGCUGUGACUUUUUCUCUCUGAGGAAAAACAAAAAGGUUUGAGUUCAUGUCAGAGAUUAAACACAGAUCAUACACUGACUUAAAACAUCAACAUCUGUCUGAGUCAGAGGAUUAUUAACUCCCUCAGAUUAUUAACCCCUUCAGCUCUGACACACACUCUCCAUAAAUACCCCUCUUUGGAUCAGUCCUCAUAUUACCAUUCUUACAUUAAUGCUGUUGUUAACCUACAUAUUUCACAUUAAAGCAUUAGCUUCUGUUUUUGGUUCUUGUUGACGUAUUUUGGUGUAAAGUGUUUGUUUUGAGGGUUUCUUUGUUUACUCUUGAAGUCUGUGUGUUUGUUUACUGAAUGUACUUCCUGUGUUUGUGUUUGAGGUCACUGGAUUAAAUAAAGAGAUCGCUGCUUUAAAUAUGUUCCAAAAACACGAGUGACACGUCAUCCCUGACAUUCAACUCUCUCUCUGAAAAAUCCUCUCAGGACACAUCAGGAGUUUUCUGAUUCAAAACA
Long non-coding RNA from Notolabrus celidotus (New Zealand spotty), 1502 nucleotides. RefSeq lists it as uncharacterized. The transcript has 3 exons. NCBI's taxonomy places the organism in Eukaryota, Metazoa, Chordata, Actinopteri, Labriformes, Labridae. The record is from RefSeq and is a predicted model, not a curated record.